GAUGAACGCUAGCGGCAGGCCUAAUACAUGCAAGUCGGACGGGAUUUGGGAGCUUGCUCCCAAUGAGAGUGGCGCACGGGUGCGUAACACGUAUGUAACCUACCUUAAUCAGGGGGAUAGCCUCUCGAAAGAGAGAUUAACACCGCAUAAUAUAUUUUUAUGGCAUCGUAGAAAUAUCAAAUAUUUAUAGGAUUAAGAUGGGCAUGCGGAACAUUAGCUAGUUGGUAAGGUAACGGCUUACCAAGGCUACGAUGUUUAGGGGAUCUGAGAGGAUGACCCCCCACGCUGGUACUGAGACACGGACCAGACUCCUACGGGAGGCAGCAGUAAGGAAUAUUGGUCAAUGGGCGCAAGCCUGACCCAGCCAUGCCGCGUGCAGGAAGACGGCCCUAUGGGUUGUAAACUGCUUUUGUACCGGAAUAAACCCUUUUACGUGUAAAAGGCUGAAUGUACGGUAAGAAUAAGGAUCGGCUAACUCCGUGCCAGCAGCCGCCGUAA
Molecule: ribosomal RNA, 498 nt
Filed under: uncultured bacterium
Lineage: Bacteria
Description: partial 16S ribosomal RNA
Rfam family: Bacterial small subunit ribosomal RNA
Source: RNAcentral